GACGGAGGAUGCAAGCGUUAUCCGGAAUGAUUGGGCGUAAAGCGUCCGCAGGUGGCAGUUCAAGUCUGCUGUCAAAGACCGGGGCUCAACCUCGGAAAGGCAGUGGAAACUGAACAGCUAGAGUAUGGUAGGGGCAAAGGGAAUUCCUGGUGUAGCGGUGAAAUGCGUAGAGAUCAGGAAGAACAUCGGUGGCGAAGGCGCUCUGCUGGACCAUAACUGACACUCAGGGACGAAAGCUAGGGGAGCGAAUGGG
RNAcentral lists this ribosomal RNA (253 nucleotides) under uncultured bacterium. RNAcentral describes it as "partial 16S ribosomal RNA". It matches the Rfam family "Bacterial small subunit ribosomal RNA", at positions 524 to 776 of the family's 1533-position model. The record is from RNAcentral.